AGUGAACGCUGGCGGUAGGCCUAACACAUGCAAGUCGAACGGCAGCACAGUAAGAGCUUGCUCUUACGGGUGGCGAGUGGCGGACGGGUGAGGAAUACAUCGGAAUCUACUUUUUCGUGGGGGAUAACGUAGGGAAACUUACGCUAAUACCGCAUACGACCUACGGGUGAAAGCAGGGGAUCUUCGGACCUUGCGCGAUUGAAUGAGCCGAUGUCGGAUUAGCUAGUUGGCGGGGUAAAGGCCCACCAAGGCGACGAUCCGUAGCUGGUCUGAGAGGAUGGUCGCCCACAUUGGAACUGGGACACGGUCAAUACUCCUACGAGACGCAGCAGUGUGGAAUAUUGGGCAAUGGGCGCAAGCCUGAUCCAGCCAUACCGCGUGUGUUAAGAAGGCCUUCGGGUUGUAAAGCCCUUUUGUUGGGAAAGAAAAGCAUCAGGUUAAUACCCCGCUGUUCUGACGGUACCCAAAGAAUAAGCACCGGCUAACUUCGUG
This 492-nucleotide ribosomal RNA is filed under the name uncultured bacterium. RNAcentral's name for it is "partial 16S ribosomal RNA". It matches the Rfam family "Bacterial small subunit ribosomal RNA", at positions 29 to 507 of the family's 1533-position model. The record is from RNAcentral.